UUAGGUAUAUUCUAGUUUGGUUGAUUUGACUUAUUCAAAGGUUAGAAAACUUGGCUAAGAUGCUUCAAUUGAUGUAAUUUGACUUGGUCCAUUCUAGACUAAAACGUAAUUGAAAUAAUUGAACUUUAAUUUGGCCAAUUGAGGUUCAAUUUAAAAUAUGAGUUUAACUUGUGGCCUCACUUCAAUAGGAAUUCAAUGAAUUAAAAAAUUUUGUGCCCAAUUAGUCAACUUGAGAUAGCCUAGUUAGACCUCAUUUGAUCCGAUUCAUGUAGAAAUAUUUGUUUUUGUUUAAAUUGGGUAAAACUAGAAAAAAAACAGAAUAAAAUUCGAACAAAAAAUUCAACCUGGUCAACUCGGUGUUGACUGGGGAAUUUUUCCUAUCAUUUUUUGGCUGGAAACCACCCUCAGCUAACCCACUUCAUGGCAAAUGCAUUUAUGCCCUUAAUUUUCAAAUUUCAAAAAUUUCCUCGGAUUUUAUGAAAUUUGCAAAUUUGCCCCCAAGUUUGGUGAAAUUACAAAAGGACCCCAACAAAUCUAUUACCUCAAUAUUAGAUCAUCACCAUUCAUUGAGAAUGCAUCAUGACCAUUGAAAUUAACAUAUUCCUAAUUAGGAUGUUAUCUAGGAUUCGUUAAAAAUGAGAUGACAUUUUAGCCUUUAGAUCAAUCGAAGGGCUAGGAUUCCAUCCUUUAAACACAUAUAAAUAGGAUUUUUCUCUUUAGAAAAGGGGGGCCGGAUUUUUUUUAUAUAGAAAACUAGAUAUGGGAUUAUUUUAUCUCUCCUCUCUCUCUCUCUCUCUCAUUCCCACUCAUGCACUCUCUCCCACCACCUUUCUCACGUCGCCUCUCUUGCUGCUCCUAAAUCGCCGCUCAUCGGAACCUCGUCGGUCGAGCACCUCUAUCCACAACCUCCACCGGCCUCCCUCACUUGCUUUCCGGUGUAUUGAAGACUGCCAUCUCCUCUGGUGAUUCCUGAUCGUCUCUGCUCUGACUUGAUCACAGCUCAGGAGUCGUAGGCGUUUGAGCCGGUGGUGGAAUCGGCGCCGUUUUCUUCUUGAUAGACGUCCAACGGCCGUUUCCCCAAGCCUCUGGCCAUUCCUGAACUGCUUUCAAUUGUAUCCCCGACUGUCCAGAGGUCAGGGAUUGAGCAAACAGCCAUGGAUCUGUCUUCGGUGGCUGACCUUAAUCCUGGAGGUCCAAAACCAGUCAGAUAUAGACCUAUUUUUUUUUUCCACCGCUUGAACUGAAGGUCCGGCGACUUCGAUCGGCGCACCUACCCACGCUGACCUAUCCCUCCAGUGGUUGCUGACCUCACCGUGGUCAGGGAUUGGAGUAUUGACGGUCGGAGCAUCUCUGGUGACCGAUCUUCUCCGGCAAGCGCGAGGACCAGUCCAAUUGGACCGGUUCUGUUUUGGCGCCUAAAUCGACGGUCCAGCCGCUUCCUUGGUGAUCCACGACGUCCAUUCGUCAACUUCGAAGUGUCGUUUGAGCUCUGGCGGUGAAGGCUUCGUCUGAUUGCGUAAAAAUAAUUGACGAGAACACAAGAAAGGUAAAAAUCUUCAACUCGAAUCCAAUGAAGCGAGGUCGGCGUAUUCGACUGGGGCUAGGAUUCGCGAGUAGAUCUAUGAAAUAUGUUUAGAUAUGUGGCUUAUGUGAUCAUUCGAUGAUUUGCUGAGAUUGAAGAUUGAUUGAGAACAUGAUUGAGUGUUAGAAAUAUGAAUCUGUAAUUUUUGUAUGUUUGUACCUUUGGCCAAAACAAAGUUCAAAACGACCUCAUUUCAAUUCGAGUCAUUAGAUAAUAGACAUCCUAAGCUUCGAAAAAUAAUUGGUCGCACGCCUCAAUUGAGUAUCGUUUGACCCUAAAAACAUCUCUGAAAAUGAGCGAGUCUGCUAUAGCUCAGUUAGAUUUUCGGUUUUGUUUUUGCUCCGAAAUGAGAUUUUACUAGUUUUGUGUAACAUUAUGUGAUGAUUUUUGGACAAUCUUGCCUUGAUAAGUUUUGUUCCAAAUUAUUUUGUGCACAUCCUAUAAUUUUUCAUGAUUUUUGGACCUACUUAACUAGGUCAGAUCUACUCAAAUUUAAGCCUAGGUCAAUUUGUUCCGUAAUGAUAUCUGAUUUUGCCAUUUUUUUUUAUUGAUUUUUGUAUUAAGUUAUGGAAUGACUUUCCUUCAUGAAAGUUGCUUGUAUUAGUGUUGUACAUGUCAUGUGUUUUUUUUUUCAAAAUUUUUAAACAUGUUUAACUAGGUCAAAAUCACUUAAUCUGAACAUAAAACAGUAUUGUCUUGCAUUGGUCAGAAUUCUGUUUUGAUGAAAUCGAGUCAACAAAUACACUUAUUUGGUUUCAAAUCCUUCAUGAAAGUUGAAAUAUAUGAUACAUAUGUUCAAUUGAUGCAUACUUUGUAAAUUUUUGACAUUGGCAAGUGAGUUAAUUGCAUGAGUUAAGGUGAAAAUGUGCCGCAUCGGUAUAUAGUCUAAAUGUACAUAUCUGUCUUGUCAUUUUUGCUGUGAUUUGUGUGGUCACUUUUAGGUUUUGAAUCCUUAAUGAGAAACAUUCAUCAUUGCAUAUUCUAUAUGUGGGAUUUUCAUAAGAUUUAUGCACGACUUAAGAUGGCUGAAAUUGUGCACAUUCUGUGAAAUCAAUGCUAAAAUGAAAUCUUGUCAUUUAUGCAUCUUACCAUACUUGUUUGAGACAUUUAGAGUCUAAAUUUUGCGAUAAUGUCUUUUUGACACAUAAACUUCAUGUCAUAAGGUUUGAGUACAUGUUCAUGUCAUUGCAUUUGAGUGUUAUUUUACAUGUUAAAUUUGUGCCACAAGAGCGUAUGUUCAUCGAGAAACUCUCAAGCAUUUCAUCAUGAAUCUUGAGUCAUCUUGUACUGUCAUUUGAGUGUCAUUUUAAUUUGUGAAUAUAGACUACAUGUUUUUGAUUAAAAAACAAUUUAAAUUUGAGGAGAAUAUAAUGACAAAAAGAAUUGUUUGCAAACUGUGUCUGUAGAGAAAUUGAAGCAUAAAGUAAUGGGAUAAACCAAGACAAAAGACUAAAGGGUAUGUUUGAUAACCAUUUAAUUUCAGGAAUAAUUUCUACUCAAAAAUGAUUAUUUUUUAUUAUGUUCCUAAGAAUAAUUUCUAAGCAUUUGAAGGCAUUUCGUAACUACCCAAAAUUUCUAUUCCUGGAAUAAAAUUGCGUUUGGUAUCGUCCUCAAAAUUUCUAUUCCAAAACAUUUUCUUUUAAUUUUUUAAUAAUUUUUUUACUUUUUUUUUUUUAAAAUUUCUUUCUCUUCUUCUUCAAGCUUUGGCCAAUUGUCGGCCUUAGAAUGAUCGAUGACUAGCCAAACGAGGGCCGGUGACCUUGCCGGAGUGUCGCCUGCCCCGGUGAGUCCUUGCCUCAUCGGUCAAGCCUCACCAGGAACUGGUUGAAGCUUGACUGAGCCUUGGCUCGGCGAGGUUGAGCCUCACCCAGCUAGGCGAGGCUCGUUAGUGGUCAGGGGAGGGACUAGGCUUGGCAGUGAUUGGGCGAGUCUUCAGACCUCGCCUAACCGAUCACCGGUGAUCGGUAGCGGUGAAUGACAACAAUGGUGGUGAUGGUGGAAAAAGAAGGGAGAAGGAGGAAGAACAAGAAGAAAAGAAGAAGAGAAAAAAGAAAAAAAGAAAUUUGGAUUGGUUUGAUUCUAGAAUUGUUCCCAAGAACAAAAAAGCAACUCUCUUUUAAUCAUUGAUUCUAUUCCAUAUCUAUUUCUAGAAACAAAAAAAUAGAAUCAGUUACUAUUUGGCAAGUUGCCAACACAUCCUUAGCGUGAAUCUUUGGAUCACGGGACAAAUACAUUGUUUUAGUUAUUAGUGCUUUUUCUCAAUGUGAUAACUGAUGUAACUGGAUCACAAAUGAAAUUGAAUCCUUGAUUCUCGUUGACGAGAAGUUUAUUAAUAUGACCCAAUAGCAUUAUUCCAACAUGUUACAUUAUCCCUUAUUGGUGUCCAUCGCUAGAGUCUUACCCACCCUUAUGGCACGAUUGACAAUUAAAACAAAGAUGACACGACCUACCAAAACAAAUUAAUCGUUUCAGUUUCAAUACGGUCCGCCAUUUUAUUUAAUUUGAUGGAAUUACUUCCCCUUGAUUAUUACAUUUCAAUGACAUGGUAUGGUUUCAACAUAGCAAAUAAGUUGAUUGAUUUUCUUAUCGGUGGAUUUGUGUAAGUAUUUGUUCCAAGCACAUCGUUUUUAGAAAAGAGAUGUUGAUUCAAUAACAACACUUUGUCUCUAAAAAGUAAAAACUAUUAAAUGUGUCUCAGAUCAAUCACGUUCCGAUUGUAGCCAAUACUUCGAGACAUACACUAAACAAAUUAUUUGAGUAGUCUUCUAUUCACCAAAUUGGACUUAUUGUCCAAAAGGUUUCCAUUAGUUCAAGAGUGUUCCUAUAAUUAAUUUAACCAAGCUAAACGCAUGAAAAAUGUUUUGCUGAUGAAAUGGAUUAAUAUUAUAGAAGUUUGGCAGAUUUGAUGAUGAUUGCACAAGAUAUUCAUUUUGUUUACUGGAAAACUGCAAAAACAAGGAUCUUGCACAUACAUGCUGCUAUUCAAUUACAAGAUACAAGCAACCUUUCCUUUCAUGGCAUGAGAAUAAGAAAAGAAGCCCUGGCUUUCAAACUUCAUAGUUUUUUUUCUCUCUUGGGUAUUGAGGGAGAGGGAGGGAGAACAAGCGCAGAGAAAGAGAAAGGGAGAAGCGGGGUCUUUGAUGAUAAAUCAGUGAACCCAGAUGGAAUUAAGAUUUGGUGGUUUGAAAGCCAUUUGAUCCAUUCCGAUGUCCUUAUCAAGAAAAUGAGGGCAUUAUAGGUAGUACCCUUUCAUGCCGUCGUUUUCUCAAGUGAGCUUUCUCAAUUUACAAUUUGUAGUAAAUCCUGAUAGAGGAAAAGCUGGAGUGUGCGCUUUAUGUGCUUUGACCAAGUUUUUUUUGUCAACUUCUAGUAAUUUAACCUUGGUGCUUGUGGCGUGAGACCUGGAGGAAAGGUGAGUAGGAUGAUACUAGAUUAGUAAAUCUGAAAUGCUCCUGACAAGCAUGUUCUCCUUCCCAUGCUAUAUGCAGGCUAUACUGAUGAUUAGUCCAGAACCACAAUCUUGUGCUGCCUGAAGUUGUGUGGUGUUCUUAUAUGUUCUGAUGGCUUGGAGUUUUAUGCAGGUAUUCUAGCCUGCCCGGCU
Molecule: long non-coding RNA, 5183 nt
Filed under: Eucalyptus grandis
Lineage: Eukaryota; Viridiplantae; Streptophyta; Magnoliopsida; Myrtales; Myrtaceae
Description: long non-coding RNA (EGRA_LNC007632)
Source: RNAcentral